UACGUAGGCAGCAAGCGUUUGUUCGGAGUUUACUGGGCGUAAAGGGGUGUGUAGGCGGUUCUUUAAGUUUGGUGUGAAAUCUCCCGGCUCAACUGGGAGGGUGCGCCGAAUACUGAGGGACUAGAGUACGGGAGAGGAAAGUGGAAUUCCUGGUGUAGCGGUGAAAUGCGUAGAUAUCAGGAGGAACACCGGUGGCGAAGGCGACUCUUUUGGCCUGUAACUGACGCUGAGGCGACGAAAGCGUGGGGAGCAAACAGG
Molecule: ribosomal RNA, 258 nt
Filed under: uncultured bacterium
Lineage: Bacteria
Description: partial 16S ribosomal RNA
Rfam family: Bacterial small subunit ribosomal RNA
Source: RNAcentral